GGGAAACUGAGGAUAAUUUUUCAUAAUUGAAUAGGCUUGGAAAAGUUUUUCAACUAAAAGGAUAAGAUAAACGGAUCUUAUUCGCUAUAGGAUAGGAUCGUGGUCGAUUAUGGUUGUUGGUGAGGUAACGGCUCACCAAGCCGAUAACCGAUAGGGGCCGUGAGAGCGGGAGCCCCGAGAUGGGUACUGAGACAACGACCCAGGCCUUACGAGGCGCAGCAGGCGCGAAACCUCCGCAAUACACGAAAGUGUGACGGGGUUACCCAAAGUGUCCAUAUUUGGACUGUGGUAAGUGAGUAAUAUCCCUUACCAGAAAGGAGAGGGCAAGGCUGGUGCCAGCCGCCGCGGUAAAACCAGCUCUUCAAGUGGUCGGGAUGAUUAUUGGGCUUCAAGUGCCCGUAGCCGGUUUAGUAAGUUCCUGGUAAAAUCGGGUAGCUUAACUAUCGGCAUGCUAGGAAUACUACUAUGCUAGAGGGCGGGAGAGGUCUGAGGUACUACAGGGGUAGGGGGUGAAAUCUUUAUAAUCCUUGCAGGACCACCAGUGGCGAAGGCGUCAGACUGGAACGCGCCUGACGGUGAGGGACGAAAGCCAGGGGAGCGAACCGGAUUAGAUACCCGGGUAGUCCUGGCCGUAAACGAUGCACACUAGGUGAUGGUACGGCCAUGAGCCGUGUCAGUGCCGUAGGGUAACCGUUAAGUGUGCCGCCUGGGAAGUACGGUCGCAAGGCUGAAAACUUGA
This 739-nucleotide ribosomal RNA is filed under the name uncultured archaeon. RNAcentral describes it as "bacterial SSU rRNA". It matches the Rfam family "Archaeal small subunit ribosomal RNA", at positions 134 to 859 of the family's 1478-position model. The record is from RNAcentral.